RNAcentral lists this long non-coding RNA (566 nucleotides) under Malus domestica (apple). RNAcentral's name for it is "long non-coding RNA (MDOM_LNC016439)". The record is from RNAcentral. Lineage: Eukaryota; Viridiplantae; Streptophyta; Magnoliopsida; Rosales; Rosaceae.
UACUCAUCUGGUCAGACCUUGAAUCUCCUUCAGAGUAGUGGGGGAUUUCAUACUCAAGAUCAAUCGAAUUUUCCUUGAAUGUGCAUCAUUCAACCUCAUCCUAAAGUGUUUGCUUCUCUGGUAGAGCGAAAGAGUCUGCCAGAGUUAGAUCUUCUAUUAUGAUUAAUUCUCCGAACAGCAGUUGGUCUGCUGAGAGUCCUUUUUGGAAGGCUACAUUAGCUAUCGAGUCGUUGCAUUAGAUUAUCUUUGCCUUAUCUGCUUUAAACCUCUUCACAUAGUCAUGAAGCGAUUUAUUUGGGUUUUUCUUGAGGUUAAGCAAAUGAUCAGACUUCUUUUUUAUCGAGUGAUAAGAUGAAUAUUCUUUGGUGAAAAACAAAAAAAGAUAAUUGAAACUCUGGAUGGAUUGUGGCGGCAGGGUAUGGACCCAAUCUUGCGCCUUGCCUUGUAAAAUGAUGGCGAAUAUCUUGCACAUAAAAGCAUCAUUGUUCCGAUAAAAGAUCAUUAUGCUUCAGUAGUACUUUAAGUGUCUCCCCAGGUUUCCAUCUCCUUUGAAGGAUGUGAAAUGU